UCUGCACACCCUGUCCUGCCAUUCUCCACCACUACAGCUGUUCCACUAUUCCUCCUUUCCAAGGACGGAGCUGUGGGAAUGGGAAGACAUUUGCUGAUCUCCUUCCCUGGGAGGGAAAAUGUGGGCACUUCGAAUCGGCUGAAAAUUCCGGCAAGCUCCUGGGGACGACGACUAAGACCUGCUUCUGAGAGCUUGGAGGCUAUAGGGAAGGAUAAAAAUGUUGUAGAUUCAGGAGAGGAUCUAUCAAGUUCUUUCUCCCUUUCCUGAUCUUUUAAAUCCAGUUCUUCCCAUUUUGUCAGCAACUCGCAACUCUCCGUUAAAAUUAUCCUCGUGAAAGUUCA
Long non-coding RNA from Podarcis muralis (Common wall lizard), 341 nucleotides. RefSeq lists it as uncharacterized. NCBI's taxonomy places the organism in Eukaryota, Metazoa, Chordata, Lepidosauria, Squamata, Lacertidae. The record is from RefSeq and is a predicted model, not a curated record.